Molecule: ribosomal RNA, 554 nt
Filed under: Metaphrynella sundana (Borneo treefrog)
Lineage: Eukaryota; Metazoa; Chordata; Amphibia; Anura; Microhylidae
Description: partial 16S ribosomal RNA
Rfam family: Bacterial large subunit ribosomal RNA
Source: RNAcentral
CGCCUCUUGACAAACAUAAGAGGUCCAGCCUGCCCAGUGACAAAGUUUAACGGCCGCGGUACCCUAACCGUGCAAAGGUAGCGCAAUCACUUGUUCCUUAAAUAGGGACUAGUAUGAACGGCAUCACGAGGGUUAUUCUGUCUCCCCCUUUUAAUCAGUGAAACUGACCUCCCCGUGAAGAGGCGGGGAUAAAAAUAUAAGACGAGAAGACCCCAUGGAGCUUUAAACUAAGUACUAACUGCUUUACCCAUGCCAUUAUAAUUUAGCAACUGUAGAAACUAGUUUUUGGUUGGGGUGACCGCGGAGCAAAACACAACCUCCACGAUGAAUGAGCCUAAAACCCUAAUUACUAGAGCCACAACUCAAACAAACAACAAAUUGACAUAUUUGAUCCAAUUAAUUUUGAUCAACGAACCAAGUUACCCUGGGGAUAACAGCGCAAUCUACUUCAAGAGCCCCUAUCGACAAGUGGGUUUACGACCUCGAUGUUGGAUCAGGGUACCCAGGUGGUGCAACCGCUACUAAAGGUUCGUUUGUUCAACGAUUAAAACCCU